Molecule: ribosomal RNA, 439 nt
Filed under: uncultured bacterium
Lineage: Bacteria
Description: partial 16S ribosomal RNA
Rfam family: Bacterial small subunit ribosomal RNA
Source: RNAcentral
CUACGGGUGGCUCCAGUGGGGAAUAUUGCACAAUGGAGGAAACUCUGAUGCAGCAACGCCGCGUGGAGGAUGACACUUUUCGGAGCGUAAACUCCUUUUAUAUAGGAAGAAGAUGACGGUACUAUAUGAAUAAGCGCCGGCUAACUCCGUGCCAGCAGCAGCGGUAAUAAGGAGGGCGCAAGCGAUACUCGGAAUCACUGGGCGUAAAGAGCGUGUAGGCGGAUUAAAAAGUCAGAAGUGAAAUCCUAUAGCUUAACUAUAGAACUGCUUCUGAAACUCUUAAUCUAGAAUAUGGGAGAGGUAGAUGGAAUUUCUGGUGUAGGGGUAAAAUCCGUAGAGAUCAGAAGGAAUACCGAUUGCGAAGGCGAUCUACUAGAACAUUAUUGACGCUGAGACGCGAAAGCGUGGGGAGCAAACAGGAUUAGAUACCCUCGUAGUC